GUCUAUGGCCAUGCCACCUUGAACGUGCCCAAUCUCGUCUGAUCUCGGAAGCUAAGCAGGGUUAGGCCUGGUUAGUACUUGGAUGGGAGACCACCUAGGAAGACCAGGUGCUGUAAGCA
RNAcentral lists this ribosomal RNA (119 nucleotides) under Pteropus alecto (black flying fox). The record is from RNAcentral. Lineage: Eukaryota; Metazoa; Chordata; Mammalia; Chiroptera; Pteropodidae.